This 642-nucleotide ribosomal RNA is filed under the name uncultured bacterium. RNAcentral describes it as "bacterial SSU rRNA". It matches the Rfam family "Bacterial small subunit ribosomal RNA", at positions 262 to 904 of the family's 1533-position model. The record is from RNAcentral.
GGCCCACCAAGGCUACGAUCAGUAGGGGUUCUGAGAGGAAGGUCCCCCACAUUGGAACUGAGACACGGUCCAAACUCCUACGGGAGGCAGCAGUGAGGAAUAUUGGUCAAUGGACGAGAGUCUGAACCAGCCAAGUAGCGUGCAGGAUGACGGCCCUAUGGGUUGUAAACUGCUUUUAUAAGGGAAUAAAGUGAGCCUCGUGAGGCUUUUUGCACGUACCUUAUGAAUAAGGACCGGCUAACUCCGUGCCAGCAGCCGCGGUAAUACGGAAGGUCCGGGCGUUAUCCGGAUUUAUUGGGUUUAAAGGGAGCGUAGGCCGGAGAUUAAGCGUGUUGUGAAAUGUAGAUGCUCAACAUCUGCACUGCAGCGCGAACUGGUUUCCUUGAGUACGCACAAAGUGGGCGGAAUUCGUGGUGUAGCGGUGAAAUGCUUAGAUAUCACGAAGAACUCCGAUUGCGAAGGCAGCUCACUGGAGCGCAACUGACGCUGAAGCUCGAAAGUGCGGGUAUCGAACAGGAUUAGAUACCCUGGUAGUCCGCAUGGUAAACGAUGGAUGCCCGCUGUUGGUCCGAAUAGGUCAGCGGCCAAGCGAAAGCAUUAAGCAUCCCACCUGGGGAGUACGCCGGCAACGGUGAAACUCAA